RNAcentral lists this ribosomal RNA (274 nucleotides) under uncultured bacterium. RNAcentral's name for it is "partial 16S ribosomal RNA". It matches the Rfam family "Bacterial small subunit ribosomal RNA", at positions 524 to 796 of the family's 1533-position model. The record is from RNAcentral.
UACGGAGGGUGCGAGCGUUAAUCGGAAUUACUGGGCGUAAAGCGCACGAGGCGGUUUGUUAAGCAAGAUGUGAAAGCCCCGGGCUCAACCUGGGAACUGCAUUCUGAUGGCAGACUAGAGUCUUGGAGAGGGGGGGUGGAAUUCCAGGUGUAGCGGUGAAAUGCGUAGAGAUCUGGAGGAACAUCAGUGGCGAAGGCGGCCCCCUGGCCAAAAGACUGACGCUCAUGUGCGAAAAGUGUGGGGUAGCGAACAGGAUUAGAUACCCGUGUAGUCC